This 492-nucleotide ribosomal RNA is filed under the name uncultured bacterium. RNAcentral describes it as "partial 16S ribosomal RNA". It matches the Rfam family "Bacterial small subunit ribosomal RNA", at positions 29 to 507 of the family's 1533-position model. The record is from RNAcentral.
AGUGAACGCUGGCAGUAGGCCUAACACAUGCAAGUCGAACGGCAGCACAGUAAGAGCUUGCUCUUACGGGUGGCGAGUGGCGGACGGGUGAGGAAUACAUCGGAAUCUACUUUUUCGUGGGGGAUAACGUAGGGAAACUUACGCUAAUACCGCAUACGACCUACGGGUGAAAGCAGGGGAUCUUCGGACCUUGCGCGAUUGAAUGAGCCGAUGUCGGAUUAGCUAGUUGGCGGGGUAAAGGCCCACCAAGGCGAUGAUCCGUAGCUGGUCUGAGAGGAGGAUCAGCCACACUGGAACUGAGACACGGUCCAGACUCCUACGGGAGGCAGCAGUGGGGAAUAUUGGACAAUGGGCGCAAGCCUGAUCCAGCCAUACCGCGUGGGUGAAGAAGGCCUUCGGGUUGUAAAGCCCUUUUGUUGGGAAAGAACAGCAGCAGGUUAAUACCCCGCUGUUCUGACGGUACCCAAAGAAUAAGCACCGGCUAACUUCGUG